This 118-nucleotide ribosomal RNA is filed under the name Diaphorina citri (Asian citrus psyllid). Lineage: Eukaryota; Metazoa; Arthropoda; Insecta; Hemiptera; Psyllidae. The record is from RNAcentral.
GCCAGCGCUCAUAGCACGUUGAAUACGACAGUUCCUAACGGUUCACUGAACUUAAACAACGUUGUGCGUGGUUAGUAUUCGAAUGGGUGACCGUCUGGCCAUUCGCGUGCUGCUGGCU